Molecule: RNase P RNA, 395 nt
Filed under: Candidatus Korobacter versatilis
Lineage: Bacteria; Pseudomonadati; Acidobacteriota; Terriglobia; Terriglobales; Candidatus Korobacteraceae
Also listed under: 1 other name
Description: RNase P RNA component class A
Rfam family: Bacterial RNase P class A
About the family: Ribonuclease P (RNase P) is a ubiquitous endoribonuclease, found in archaea, bacteria and eukarya as well as chloroplasts and mitochondria.
Source: RNAcentral
CAGCCGGAUCGGACGGUCGCUGUCGCAAGGCAGAGGAAAGUCCGAACUCCGCAGAGCAGUGUGCCGGAUAACGUCCGGGAGGGUGAGUUCAAGCUCACUCGACGGAAAGUGCCACAGAAAACAUACCGCCUGGGCCGCAAGGCCCGGGUAAGGGUGAAAAGGUGCGGUAAGAGCGCACCGCCGCGGCAGCAAUGCAGCGGGCAGGGCAAACCCCACACGGAGCAAGACCAAAUAGGGAGGAAGUCCGGGACUUCGGUUUCGGACACGCACCGGCUCGGCGCGUCAAACCUCCGGGUAGGUCGCUUGAGCCCCGCAGUAAUGCGUGGCCCAGAGGAAUGGCCGUCCCACGGGAGCAAUCCCGUGGACAAAAUUCGGCUUACAGAUCCGGCUGCCAA